This is a long non-coding RNA of Scomber scombrus (Atlantic mackerel), 706 nucleotides long. RefSeq lists it as uncharacterized. The transcript is spliced from 10 exons. NCBI's taxonomy places the organism in Eukaryota, Metazoa, Chordata, Actinopteri, Scombriformes, Scombridae. The record is from RefSeq and is a predicted model, not a curated record.
AGAUGGCAGCUGAAAGAAGAAAACAGCUGAUGUCUUUGCUGACACCUUUUAGUUGAGAAAUGGAGAAUUGCCUGAGAAAUGGCUUUGAAGAAGCUGUUCAAACCAGCAACAAGUGUCCUCAACUGGCCUAGAAGGCUAUGACCUCAUUGCUGGGAGUGUGAUGAUGAAGAUGCCCGGCAGUAUGCCCUACCUCUCUGGGACAUGAGGUGGAGGAGCAGAGCAAAGCAGCAGCCUGCAGGGUUCCUUCUACAGCCUCCUCCCCUCAGCUCUCUGCAUUGAAGCAUGUUUCUAAUGCAGCGUGAGCCUCUCUGUCCCAGACUUGAGCAGAGAUUCAAUAAAAAAGGUCAUGCUGCUGAUGGAACAGAAACAUGAGACUGAGCUUGUGACAGUGGUUUCUAAUGCAGCGUGAGCCUCUGUCCCAGACUUGAGCAGAUAUUCAAUAACAAAGAUUGCUGAAUCAUGCUGGAGAUAUCAUCCCAGGAGAACUGUCAGCCUGCUUCACUAUUGCUGAAUCAUGCUGGAGAUAUCAUCCCAGGAAACUGUCAGCCUGCUUCACUAAGCAGCAGAUCUGAGACCAGCUGUCAACACUGAUCUAUCACUUCCUCUGUAAUACGUCACAUCUACAAAAACGGAUGUGUUCACUGCUUCACAUUUUGUAUUGUUUUUCCUACUGUGUGCAAUAAAAAAAAAUGUAUUUCCAUACCUC